RNAcentral lists this ribosomal RNA (494 nucleotides) under uncultured bacterium. Its description in RNAcentral is "partial 16S ribosomal RNA". It matches the Rfam family "Bacterial small subunit ribosomal RNA", at positions 28 to 507 of the family's 1533-position model. The record is from RNAcentral.
GACGAACGCUGGCGGCGUGCUUAACACAUGCAAGUCGAACGGAAAGGCCUGCUUUCCCUUGUGGAUUGCGGGUACUCGAGUGGCGAACGGGUGAGUAACACGUGAGUGAUCUGCCCCCAACUUGGGUAUAAGCCUGGGAAACUGGGUCUAAUUCCCGAUAGGACUGCAGGGUGGUGCCUGUGGUGGAGAACGAUUUUCUAGUGGUUGGGGAUGAGCUCGCGGCCUAUCAGCUUGUUGGUGGGGUAAUGGCCUACCAAGGCGGCGACGGGUAGCCGGCCUGGGAGGGUGGACGGCGACAUUGGGACGGGGAUACGGCCCAGACGCCUACGGGAGGCAGCAGUGGGGAAUAUUGCACAAUGGGCGGAAGCCUGAUGCAGCGACGCCGCGUGGGGGAUGACGGGCUUCGGGUUGUAAACUCCUUUCGACCGCGAGGAAGCCACCUGGUUGGAAGGGUGGUGACGGUAGUGGUAGAAGAAGCACCGGCUAACUACGUG